CCUACGGGAGGCAGCAGUAGGGAAUCUUCCGCAAUGGGCGAAAGCCUGACGGAGCAACGCCGCGUGAGUGAUGAAGGUUCUUCGGAUUGUAAAACUCUGUUAUUAGGGAAGAACAAACGUGUAAGUAACUGUGCACGUCUUGACGGUACCUAAUCAGAAAGCCACGGCUAACUACGUGCCAGCAGCCGCGGUACA
Molecule: ribosomal RNA, 195 nt
Filed under: uncultured Staphylococcus sp.
Lineage: Bacteria; Bacillati; Bacillota; Bacilli; Caryophanales; Staphylococcaceae
Description: partial 16S ribosomal RNA
Rfam family: Bacterial small subunit ribosomal RNA
Source: RNAcentral